This 75-nucleotide transfer RNA is filed under the name Verrucomicrobiota bacterium. RNAcentral's name for it is "Verrucomicrobia bacterium tRNA-Val". It matches the Rfam family "tRNA". From Rfam's summary of the family: Transfer RNA (tRNA) molecules are approximately 80 nucleotides in length. Their secondary structure includes four short double-helical elements and three loops (D, anti-codon, and T loops). Lineage: Bacteria; Pseudomonadati; Verrucomicrobiota. The record is from RNAcentral.
GGGCGAUUAACUCAGUGGUAGAGUGUCUCGUUUACACCGAGGUUGUCGGGGGUUCGAAUCCCUCAUCGCCCACCA